UACGUAGGUGACAAGCGUUGUCCGGAUUUACUGGGCGUAAAGAGCGCGCAGGCGGUGCUCCAAGUCUGGUGUGAAAUCUCCCGGCUUAACCGGGAGGGUGCGCCGGAAACUGGGGUGCUGGAGUGUGGGAGAGGUAAGCGGAAUUCCUGGUGUAGCGGUGGAAUGCGCAGAUAUCAGGAGGAACACCGAUGGCGAAGGCAGGUCUCUGGGCCGCAACUGACGCUGAGGAGCGAAAGCAUGGGGAGCGAACAGG
Molecule: ribosomal RNA, 253 nt
Filed under: uncultured bacterium
Lineage: Bacteria
Description: partial 16S ribosomal RNA
Rfam family: Bacterial small subunit ribosomal RNA
Source: RNAcentral